Molecule: non-coding RNA, 3990 nt
Organism: Macaca mulatta (Rhesus monkey)
Lineage: Eukaryota; Metazoa; Chordata; Mammalia; Primates; Cercopithecidae
Source: RefSeq, a predicted model, not a curated record
UGAGAUUUUAAUUACCAUAGUACUAGAAAAUGCUCUGGGAAUGAAGGUGAAGUGUGGUAACUGGGAAAUAAGUCAUCUGCUGGUAGUGGGAUGAGAUAAAUGAGAUCAAUGUAUUAAAUCAAGGAAAUUGAAAUUAUUCAGUGUGCAGAAGCAAGUUUACAUUUAGUUUAUCUUUACAUGGCAUCAGACUUUAAGCUGGUACAUCAUGUUUGAGAUAUCUGGCUAUUUGUCCUCCUUUUGAGGAUUUCUAAUUUGUUAAGUGGAUUAAAAGCAUUUCAUGUGAGGAAUAAUUUUAAAAAGUAUCAGUGUUUGUCCUGAGGAAGAAAAAAUGAAGGAGUUAAGAGUUAAUGCCAUCAAAUAUUUGAAAAGCUGUCAUUUGGAGGUGGAAGAGGACUUUACCUGUGUUGUCCUAAGGGAAGAUCUUACGCUAUACUUGAGAGGCAGUCAUUAUUAAAGGCAUUAAAGUGAGACACGUGCUAAUAGAGUAACUAGUUGUCAUGAAAGUGAGGAAACAGAGUAAUCAAGCAGAAAUAAGGACACAGGAUAGAAAUCAGAAUGCCAUAGAAAUAUGCAUUUGAAAAACCAAGAUCAGGAAAGGCUUCAUGUAAGUUGGGAAUGAAGCUUGGCCUAAAAAUACCAGUAGGCACUAGGGUAUGAGUGUGUGUGUGUGUGUGUAUUCCUUGCUAGAGAUACACAAUUGUAGAAAUUGACUGGAUUAGCCGGAAACCUUGGGAUAUGAACUAGAGUCCUCCAUUAGCAGAAGAAAAGGAACUGUGUAAGGGAAAAGUGAACCAAUAUUCCGUGGGAGUGAAAGGGAAGCAAUGCAGAAAUCGGGGGGCUCUGGAGGUACACAGUUGAAAAACAGAGCAAGAGGUGACUAUGAUCAGAGGACAUCAUCAAGCACACAGAUAAAACACAGGAAUGCAGUUCAAGGAAGCAAAUCCUCAUUGUCAACCAGUUCUCCAGAGUCUGCAAGAAAACUUCAUCCUCGACCAAGUGAUAAACUGAACCCUAAAACAAUUAACCCGUUUGGUGAACAGUCACGAGCGCCUUCUGCAUUUGCAGCUAUUUACUCUAAAGGAGGUAUUCCUUGCAGAUUGGUACAUGGUUCAGUAAAACACAGAUUACAGUGGGAAUGUCCUCCUGAAAGUCUUUCAUUUGAUCCACUUCUUAUUACUUUAGCCGAGGGUUUGAGAGAAACCAAGCAUCCAUACACCUUUGUGUCAAAGGAGGGCUUUAGAGAAUUACUUUUGGUCAGAGGUGCUUCUGAAAAAGCUGUUCCUUUGCUACCUAGACUGAUUCCUGUGCUAAAGGCAGCUCUGGUCCAUUCGGAUGAUGAAGUGUUUGAAAGAGGAUUGAAUGCCCUAGUUCAGCUAAGUGUUGUUGUUGGUCCUUCUCUAAACGACCAUCUGAAGCAUCUGCUUACAAGCCUUUCCAAGAGAUUAAUGGACAAGAAAUUCAAAGAGCCAAUCACCAGUGCAUUACAAAAGCUAGAGCAACGUGGCGGAAGUGGAAGCCUUAGCAUCAUCAAAUCUAAAAUUCCAACGUACUGCUCCAUAUGCUGUUGAAGAAGGGAGCCAACAAAAAUUGUUUUUACUACCUGGUGACGUGUCAAACACUGACCAUCACGAUGAAGGAGGACCCAUUUUAUAUUUUGUGGAGUCUAUUGACGGCAUUAAACUACUUUAUUUAAAUCUUUACUUGGUGUGUAAUAGAGGAUAUUUCUCAAAUCAUAAUGCCAAAAUGGAAACUACAGAGGCGCAGAGGAUUUCUGUUGUGUGUCUAGGUGACGAGCUGUAAUUUAAUGCAAUUUUCCGCUCAAUAAAAGACAAGAAAAUUAUGUCCUAAAAAGCAAUGGUCCUUCUGAUGGAGUUUGGAUUUCUUCUGGCAAGCACUUGAAGACAGUGGAAAGUUUGAAAGGAGGAGUGAAGCUACUUGCUUUGAUUGGGUGAGAGAAAGAAGCAAAGGCAUAGGAAUGUCCAGCGAGGCAGAAAACUGGAUAAAAUGACGAAAAGAGAAACUGUCUACAGAAGCAUCUAUGGUUCUGGUUUUACUCCACUGUGUUCUUAAGCACUCAAUAAAUAUUUGUUAAAAGAGUGAAUAACUGGCUUCUUGGAAUCUAGAUUUGAGUACACUCCAGGGCUUAAAAGAUGUAACAAUGAUCUCCCUUCUCCGUCUAUGAUCUCUUCCUGAUCACAUUUCUUUAAAUAACAAAAAUAGUUACUGAGUUUGUUAAGCUGAGAUUGCCUCAGUUUCUUAUAAUUUUACUUGUGAAGCUAAAAAAUAAAUGUUGAGAUUUGAUAGUUGAGCAACAACAUUUACAGAUUCUUAGGAUGGGAAGACAUUUUGGAUAUGAUUUAGCAUUGUAUUUACAUUGAACAAAGGUGAAAAUAGGGACUUUUAGUGACAAACUGAGGUCACCUAGUUACUUCAUGGUAGAGUUGGUAAUGAAAUCAAGAUAUUCCUAUACCACCUCUUAGAAAUCCAAGGAUACUAGAGUAGAAAAAACCUGAGGAUUCCUUUGAUGUGACUCCUACAUUUUACAGAGAAACAACCUGAGGCCAAGAAAAGUAAACUACUCGAGGUACAUACCUUGAUAGGUAGCAGUCUGUCCACAAACUCUGAACUGUCUUAGUCCAAAAGUCUUAACCCAAUUAUAUUGAGAACACAAUGCAUAUAGCAAAUAACCCUUGAGUUCGUUCUUCAUAGUAUUUGAACAAACACACUUGAUUAUCAUGCCCCAGGUUUGUAGAAUGAAAUCAAUCUGGUUUAUUUCUUUUUCCUAUCCCAAAGCCCUACUCCCAUCGAAUUCAAGCACGAAGAAUAGAAUUAGCUUCAUGUAUUGGAAUAUACAAUUCAUGACAUCGUUACUGUGGUAAGGCAAGUUCAUAUGCAUGAAUAGUAGCUUCCGUCAAUAAGCCCUCUGUAAAUCACUCUGAAAAAUUGUUAGAAAUAUUGUCCUAGGACAAGGAUACUCAGUGGGUGAAGUCUUUUUUAAAUUUUCAUCUUUAUGUCUACAGAACUCAUCUGACUCAAGUGCCUUGCACACAGCAGCUGCUUAAUAAAUGUUUAUUGAUAGAUUAUUAUGACUUGAGCUCGUUCAUUCAUUCAUUCAACAGCUGUCUAUUAGAUGCCUAGUGUAGACAACAUAAGUGCAUUCCUACAACAUGAGCAGAAAUAGCCCAGGAAACUAUGAUUUUUAUGGGCUUUAAAAAUGUUUAGUAAACUAAAAGCUUACAUACUAAGCUUCUAUUAUAUGUGGAGUUUAAAAAGUUGUUGCGUAACCAUAUAGGCAGUAGCACCAACAAGCCGUCUCCUCUCUGCUUGCCUUAGAGUAGCCAUACUUUAUCCCCUGCAAACAAGAGGCUUGUGUUCAAUCCAGUUUUUUCUGACAUCCAGCUCACCGAGCAAGUUGGGCUUGAUAAACUGUUUCACAAAGCAGUAGAGAAAGCUAACAGCCUGACACAAUACAAAUUGCAGAGAGUUCUGUAGAUAAGACAAAGCACUUUCCUGGAGGAAAUGGUGAGAUGUUGUGAUUUAUGGACCCAUCAGUGUUACUGUUCAUAAUGAGAAAACCUGUUGCAUUCAGACCAUCAUCCUGAAUAAACGAUGGCUCCAUGGAAUGGAAGUGUAAGGAUGGCCAUCAUAUGAAUUUGUUUGCCAUCAGAGAUCACGUUCUUCCUUAGGACAUUUUUCCUUUUCUGGCCACAUAUAAGAAACAAUUUGUAUGUAUGAUAUUAAUUUUUUUAAUGCAAAGCAAAUCAUAAUUCUUUUAUUUCAUUUCCUUCAGCAAUGCCUCGUGUUCAGAUUUCUGCAUUCAAUUAACAUGAAUAAUCAAAUAAUUGUUAAGAGUGUAACAGUAAUGUUUUCUCAAAUCCCUAAUCCCUUUGGAUUUUGUAACAGGAAUCCUUUGCAAAAUAGAUGUGCUCUGUUUAAGAAGAUGUUCUCUAAUGCGGAAAUGUUGUUUUUCAAAUAAAGAUAUAAUUUUAA